RNAcentral lists this ribosomal RNA (429 nucleotides) under Actinomycetes bacterium. Its description in RNAcentral is "Actinobacteria bacterium partial 16S ribosomal RNA". It matches the Rfam family "Bacterial small subunit ribosomal RNA", at positions 355 to 776 of the family's 1533-position model. Lineage: Bacteria; Bacillati; Actinomycetota; Actinomycetes. The record is from RNAcentral.
UAGGGAAUCUUCCGCAAUGGGCGAAAGCCUGACGGAGCAACGCCGCGUGAGUGAUGAAGGUCUUCGGAUCGUAAAACUCUGUUAUUAGGGAAGAACAAAUGUGUAAGUAACUAUGCACGUCUUGACGGUACCUAAUCAGAAAGCCACGGCUAACUACGUGCCAGCAGCCGCGGUAAUACGUAGGUGGCAAGCGUUAUCCGGAAUUAUUGGGCGUAAAGCGCGCGUAGGCGGUUUUUUAAGUCUGAUGUGAAAGCCCACGGCUCAACCGUGGGGGGGCAUUGGAAAAUGGGAAACUUGAGUGCAGAAGAGGAAAGUGGAAUUCCAUGUGUAGCGGUGAAAUGCGCAGAGAUAUGGAGGAACACCAGUGGCGAAGGCGACUUUCUGGUCUGUAACUGACGCUGAUGUGCGAAAGCGUGGGGAUCAAACAGG